Molecule: ribosomal RNA, 313 nt
Filed under: uncultured eukaryote
Lineage: Eukaryota
Description: partial 18S ribosomal RNA
Rfam family: Eukaryotic small subunit ribosomal RNA
Source: RNAcentral
CCCUUAGAUGUUCUGGGCUGCACGCGCGCUACACUGAUGCGCUCAACGAGUUUACGACCUUGCCCGGAAGGGUUGGGUAAUCUUUUUAAAACGCAUCGUGAUGGGGAUAGAUUAUUGCAAUUAUUAAUCUUUAACGAGGAAUUCCUAGUAAGCGCGAGUCAUCAGCUCGUGCUGAUUACGUCCCUGCCCUUUGUACACACCGCCCGUCGCUCCUACCGAUUGGGUGAGCCGAUGAAACUCUCGGAUGUAGGCUAUUCAUAGCCCGCAGAAGAGAUUUGAAUCGUAGCGCUUAGAGGAAGGAGAAGUCGUAACA